UACGAAAGGGGCUAGAGAUGUUCGGAAUUACUGGGCGUAAAGCGCACGUAGGCGGCCUUGUAAGUUGGGGGUGAAAUCCCGGGGCUCAACUCCGGAACUGCCUUCAAGACUGCAAAGCUAGAGGACGCGAGAGGUUAGCGGAAUUCCGAGUGUAGAGGUGAAAUUCGUAGAUAUUCGGAAGAACGCCAGUGGCGAAGGCGGCUAACUGGCGCGUUUCUGACGCUGAGGUGCGAAAGCGUGGGGAGCAAACAGG
RNAcentral lists this ribosomal RNA (253 nucleotides) under uncultured bacterium. Its description in RNAcentral is "partial 16S ribosomal RNA". It matches the Rfam family "Bacterial small subunit ribosomal RNA", at positions 524 to 776 of the family's 1533-position model. The record is from RNAcentral.